CCUGAUCCAUAUCUCACAUUUUGCUUUCUUCAGGUAUCUUGUUGCCUAGUGAAGCUCUUACAUUUUAAUAGAUUAAAUAUUUAUGCACAUAGUGUGGGAGGCUGACAGAAAAUACCAGAUGUUAACUCUCUCCUCUGUGGAAAUAUUGGCUCUGAGAAACAGACGAAUUACAAUGGAUGAAGAUCAGCACUCAUAUUCUGAAGAAAGUAUCCCACUUUCAUUACUAUCCUGGUUCUGGAAGAAGAAGAGGAAUUUUGCAUCUCCUGCUGCUAAAAGUCAAAGCAGAACAGAUGCAUGGGUACGAACAGUUACCCCUUCAUGCUCUUUUGCUCCUGAAGAUUCAGCAAGAAGUGAUCCUGAACCUAAACCACAGACCACCAUUCACUCAUCUGUUCCUCUACCGGGCAGUGUUAUGGAUUUUUC
Molecule: long non-coding RNA, 423 nt
Filed under: Anser brachyrhynchus (Pink-footed goose)
Lineage: Eukaryota; Metazoa; Chordata; Aves; Anseriformes; Anatidae
Description: lncRNA (ENSABRG00000018586.1)
Source: RNAcentral